UAUGGUCAAAUCCUGCUGAAAACACUGGUACUCAUUUGAUCACUGAAGUUAAGCAGCACUAAGCCUGGUCAGUACAUAAGAUGGGGGACCACUUUCAAACACCGGGUACUGUAAG
Acanthosepion pharaonis is the source of this 115-nucleotide non-coding RNA. Lineage: Eukaryota; Metazoa; Mollusca; Cephalopoda; Sepiida; Sepiidae. The record is from the annotation of a GenBank genome assembly.